Pteropus alecto (black flying fox) is the source of this 107-nucleotide non-coding RNA. The record is from Rfam. NCBI's taxonomy places the organism in Eukaryota, Metazoa, Chordata, Mammalia, Chiroptera, Pteropodidae.
UUGCUCACUUUGGCAGCAGGUAUACUAAUAUUGGAAUGAUACAGAAAAGGUUAGCAUGGCCCCUGCACAAGGAUGACAUGCAAAUUUGUGAAACGUUUCAUACUUUU